Long non-coding RNA from Rana temporaria (common frog), 365 nucleotides. RefSeq lists it as uncharacterized. The record is from RefSeq and is a predicted model, not a curated record. The transcript has 3 exons. Lineage: Eukaryota; Metazoa; Chordata; Amphibia; Anura; Ranidae.
CUCACAUGACCGAAGGGAGGAAGGAAAUGUUUCAUACACAGUGUGUCUACGGUCUAUGCAUUGGAUUGCCCACUGGCAGCUGGUAAAGCCAUUGAAGGUCUGCGUGGCGUGUGUGAUGAGACCUAUCCUGAUCCUGUCCGUGUGGAGUCUGUGGGAAUUCCUGUGGAGGACCUUCUGACCGACCCCUCAAGUCCGUCAGUCACGUCAGUGGAGUUCUGUGGAGGAAGGUGUUUCUAUAGAUUAGUAAAUCUGCCACAGCGCCUGCCAUCUCCUCUGGUGUGCCCGGAGAGCCAUGGAAGGUCAGUUCACUGGAGAGGUACAAAUCUGCCACCAAUCUCACUAAAGCUGCCCAUAAUGUGAUGGUC